AGAGUUUGAUCAUGGCUCAGGACGAACGCUGGCGGCGUGCCUAAUACAUGCAAGUCGAGCGAGCUUGCCUAGAUGAAUUUGGUGCUUGCACCAAAUGAAACUAGAUACAAGCGAGCGGCGGACGGGUGAGUAACACGUGGGUAACCUGCCCAAGAGACUGGGAUAACACCUGGAAACAGAUGCUAAUACCGGAUAACAACACUAGACGCAUGUCUAGAGUUUAAAAGAUGGUUCUGCUAUCACUCUUGGAUGGACCUGCGGUGCAUUAGCUAGUUGGUAAGGUAACGGCUUACCAAGGCAAUGAUGCAUAGCCGAGUUGAGAGACUGAUCGGGCCACAUUGGGGACUGGAGACACGGCCCAAACUCCUACGGGAGGCAGCAGUAGGGAAUCUUCCACAAUGGACGCAAGUCUGAUGGAGCAACGCCGCGUGAGUGAAGAAGGGUUUCGGCUCGUAAAGCUCUGUUGGUAGUGAAGAAAGAUAGAGGUAGUAACUGGCCUUUAUUUGACGGUAAUUACUUAGAAAGUCACGGCUAACUACGUGCCAGCAGCCGCGGUAAUACGUAGGUGGCAAGCGUUGUCCGGAUUUAUUGGGCGUAAAGCGAGUGCAGGCGGUUCAAUAAGUCUCGAUGUGAAAGCCUUCGGCUCAACCGGAAUUGCAUCGAAACUGUUGAACUUGAGUGCCAGAAGAGGAGAGUGGAACUCCAUGUGUAGCGGUGGAAUGCGUAGAUAUAUGGAAGAACACCAGUGGCGAAGGCGGCUGUCUGGUCUGUAACUGACGCUGAGGCUCGAAAGCAUGGGUAGCGAACAGGAUUAGAUACCCUGGUAGUCCAUGCCGUAAACGAUGAAUGCUAGGUGUUGGAGGGUUUCCGCCCUUCAGUGCCGCAGCUAACGCAUUAAGCAUUCCGCCUGGGGAGUACGACCGCAAGGUUGAAACUCAAAGGAAUUGACGGGGGCCCGCACAAG
This 964-nucleotide ribosomal RNA is filed under the name Lactobacillus gasseri. Its description in RNAcentral is "bacterial SSU rRNA". It matches the Rfam family "Bacterial small subunit ribosomal RNA", at positions 8 to 929 of the family's 1533-position model. Lineage: Bacteria; Bacillati; Bacillota; Bacilli; Lactobacillales; Lactobacillaceae. The record is from RNAcentral.